ACCAAAGCUAGCCCAAAUAAACCCAACUCAACUACCACAAAUCAACUUAAACAAAACAUUUACUAAAACUUACUAAAGUAUAGGAGAUAGAAAUUUUAACAGGCGCUAUAGAAAAAGUACCGCAAGGGAACGAUGAAAGAAUCUUAAAAGUACCAAACAGCAAGGCUUACCCCCUCUACCUUUUGCAUAAUGAUUUAACUAGAACAGUUUUAGCAAAGAGAACUUAAGUUAAACACCCCGAAACCAGACGAGCUACCUAUGAACAGUCCCAAAAACGAACGAACUCAUCUAUGUGGCAAAAUAGUGAGAAGAUUUAUAGGUAGAGGUGAAAAGCCUAACGAGCCUGGUGAUAGCUGGUUGUCCAAAACAGAAUAUAAGUUCAAAUUUAAAUUUACCUAAAAGCCCCACAACUCCUAUGUAAAUUUAAAUUAUAAUCUAAAAAGGUACAGCUUUUUAGACACAGGAUACAACCUCCAUUAGAGAGUAAAGAUAAAACUACACAUAGUUGGCCUAAAAGCAGCCACCAAUUAAGAAAGCGUUCAAGCUCAACAAUACAGUCACCUUAAUCCCAACAACAACCAACCAACUCCUAACCUAAUAUUGGACUAAUCUAUUAACAAAUAGAAGCAAUAAUGUUAAUAUGAGUAACAAGAAUUAUUUCUCCUUGCACAAGCCUAUAUCAGAACGAAUAACCACUGAUAGUUAACAAUAAAAUAGGUUUAACCUAAUAAUAAACAACCCUAUUAAACCAACUGUUGACCCAACACAGGCAUGCACCAUAAAGGAAAGAUUGAAAAAAGUAAAAGGAACUCGGCAAACACAAACCCCGCCUGUUUACCAAAAACAUCACCUCUAGCAUAUCCAGUAUUAGAGGCACUGCCUGCCCAGUGACAUCCGUUUCAACGGCCGCGGUAUCCUAACCGUGCAAAGGUAGCAUAAUCACUUGUUCUCUAAAUAAGGACUUGUAUGAAUGGCCACACGAGGGUUUUACUGUCUCUUACCUUCAAUCAGUGAAAUUGACCUCCCCGUGAAGAGGCGGGGAUGAUAUAACAAGACGAGAAGACCCUAUGGAGCUUUAAUCAACUAAUUCACAAAAAUAAAAUCUUUAACCUACAUCCAAGGGAUAACAAAAUUUUGACUGAAUUAGCGAUUUCGGUUGGGGUGACCUCGGAGAACAAAACAACCUCCGAGUGAUUAAAUUCUAGACUAACCAGUCAAAAAUAACACAUCACUUAUUGAUCCAAAUUAUUGAUUGAUCAACGGAACAAGUUACCCUAGGGAUAACAGCGCAAUCCUAUUCUAGAGUCCAUAUCGACAAUAGGGUUUACGACCUCGAUGUUGGAUCAGGACAUCCUAAUGGUGUAACCGCUAUUAAUGGUUCGUUUGUUCAACGAUUAAAGUCCUACGUGAUCUGAGUUCAGACCGGAGUAAUCCAGGUCGGUUUCUAUCUAUUUAAUAUUUCCCCUAGUACGAAAGGAAAAGAGAAAUAAGGCCUACUUCACAAAAGCGCCUUCAAAUCAAUAGAUGAUAUAAUCUCAAUCUAAUUAAUUUAUACAUAACCUUACCCUAGACCAGGGUCGU
RNAcentral lists this ribosomal RNA (1581 nucleotides) under Stephanorhinus cf. kirchbergensis PH-2017. RNAcentral's name for it is "16S ribosomal RNA". It matches the Rfam family "Bacterial large subunit ribosomal RNA", at positions 396 to 2925 of the family's 2925-position model. Lineage: Eukaryota; Metazoa; Chordata; Mammalia; Perissodactyla; Rhinocerotidae. The record is from RNAcentral.